Molecule: ribosomal RNA, 396 nt
Filed under: uncultured Bacteroidota bacterium
Lineage: Bacteria; Pseudomonadati; Bacteroidota
Description: bacterial SSU rRNA
Rfam family: Bacterial small subunit ribosomal RNA
Source: RNAcentral
GAUGAACGCUAGCGGCAGGCCUAACACAUGCAAGUCGAGGGGUAACAGAAAAGCUUGCUUUUGCUGACGACCGGCGCACGGGUGCGUAACGCGUAUGCAACCUACCUCAUACUGGAGGAUAGCCCCUGGAAACGGGGAUUAAUACUCCAUAGUAUCACAAUUUCGCAUGUUAUUGUGAUUAAAGUUUUCGGUAUGAGAUGGGCAUGCGUCCCAUUAGCUUGUUGGUGAGGUAACGGCUCACCAAGGCAACGAUGGGUAGGGGGCCUGAGAGGGUGGUCCCCCACACUGGUACUGAGACACGGACCAGACUCCUACGGGAGGCAGCAGUGAGGAAUAUUGGUCAAUGGAGGAAACUCUGAACCAGCCAUGCCGCGUGAAGGAUGACGGCCCUAUGGG